RNAcentral lists this ribosomal RNA (460 nucleotides) under uncultured bacterium. RNAcentral describes it as "partial 16S ribosomal RNA". It matches the Rfam family "Bacterial small subunit ribosomal RNA", at positions 338 to 795 of the family's 1533-position model. The record is from RNAcentral.
CCUACGGGAGGCAGCAGUGAGGAAUAUUGGUCAAUGGACGAGAGUCUGAACCAGCCAAGUAGCGUGAAGGAUGACUGCCCUAUGGGUUGUAAACUUCUUUUAUAUGGGAAUAAAAUGUUCCACGUGUGGGAUUUUGUAUGUACCAUAUGAAUAAGGAUCGGCUAACUCCGUGCCAGCAGCCGCGGUAAUACGGAGGAUCCGAGCGUUAUCCGGAUUUAUUGGGUUUAAAGGGAGCGUAGGUGGAUUGUUAAGUCAGUUGUGAAAGUUUGCGGCUCAACCGUAAAAUUGCAGUUGAAACUGGCAGUCUUGAGUACAGUAGAGGUGGGCGGAAUUCGUGGUGUAGCGGUGAAAUGCUUAGAUAUCACGAAGAACUCCGAUUGCGAAGGCAGCUCACUGGACUGCAACUGACACUGAGGCUCGAAAGCGUGGGGAUCAAACAGGAUUAGAUACCCUAGUAGUC